GACCCUUUUUUGGCGACGCUAUUCACUAGCGUCGGGAAAAAAUACCCCAAGCCCCACAUAUCCUCACGCUUCAAAGAAGCGUCGGUAGAUUCUCCCUCAAGCCUCCUCCCUCCUGGUUCAUAGAUCGAGCGUUGCCUCCGCCCUCAAGCCUUCUCCCUCCUCUCCGGCGUCGACCGACCGGCCCUCAAGCCUCGAGCGAGCUUCACCUCCGCUCUCGAGGAUCUUCUCCUCGUCCCUCCUCUCCAGCUCCGACCGAUUGGCCCUCAAGCGUUGAUCGAGCUUCGCCUCCGCCCGAGGAA
RNAcentral lists this long non-coding RNA (299 nucleotides) under Phoenix dactylifera (date palm). RNAcentral describes it as "long non-coding RNA (PDAC_LNC022806)". Lineage: Eukaryota; Viridiplantae; Streptophyta; Magnoliopsida; Arecales; Arecaceae. The record is from RNAcentral.